GCCCUGCGGCUGUGCCUGGAUGGAAGGAAGAGAACCCCUGAGGUGACAGAAGCAUUGUGACCUCAUGUUGAGCAGGGGAACAUGGGGAAUUCAGGGCUGGUGGUGCCCCUUGGCCAUCCCAGGGGAGACACCAAGGGCUGGGAAAUGGGCUUGGAGUUCAGGGGAGGCUCCAGGAGAUGUGAACCUGGAAAUGGCCAGAUCAGAGGUGACACAGCCGCAGCACUGGGGAGGCCGCCAGGGCAGCCACGGUGGGAGGCGACAGGGGCUGGGACAGAGCCCGGGACUCUGCCACUGUUGGGGAUCAGGAGGUAAACAUUGGAUCGAGUCAUUCACACUAGUAUAAAUGAGGCUCAGUCCCAAGUCUGACAGUAGCCUCUUGUUUGCUGACCAGUGAAGAGGAGGACCAGAGACUCACCCAUGGCCACUCAGCCAGGCAGGACAGCACAGGACAGGACUGAAACCCAGGGUCCUCCUGGGGCAGCAGCUUCCUCCCAGAAGUGGUUCAUGGUGGAGCCCCAGGCAUUGUCUCUCAAGAAACGGUCUGCAGGACAUGGAAGUGAUGGCUGGAGCUGUGGCAGCCAUUUUGCACCAUGAGACAAACUUGUGGCAGCAGCCAUAUAUAAAAGAUGGAGGAGCAGAAAGACAAAAGGAAUCCGGAUAUCUCAUGACCACUGAAUCAUCAUCACACCAGCCUUGCAUCAUCUGCCUCUGGUACUUUUUUUUUUUUUUUUUUUUCUG
RNAcentral lists this long non-coding RNA (738 nucleotides) under Homo sapiens (human). RNAcentral's name for it is "HSALNT0215847". The record is from RNAcentral. Lineage: Eukaryota; Metazoa; Chordata; Mammalia; Primates; Hominidae.